CGCCACCUGCAGCCCGAGGCUUCUGUAAAGCACUGGAGCCCCGCAACUAGCCUCUCACCUGCCCUCUUAGGCGCCGCGCCAUUUUAGCAACGCGGAAGCCGGGAGCCGGGAAGCCUCAGCUCGGCUGAAGGCCUCAGCCCGCCUGAAAGCAGGUCCCCUUUGCCGCCUCCCGGAGGCCAGGUUUCCCUGAGUCCUUGGGACGCAGCGACGAGUUGUACUGUUACUUUAGCCGUCCCUUUAGACUGGCCAUUCCAGGUGGUGGUAUUUAGAUAAAACCACUCAAACCCUGCAGUUUGGUCUUGGGGUUUGGAGGAAAGCUCUUAUUUUUUUUCCUGCUCCGGUUCAGAAAGUCUGAAGCUCAGACCUAACCAGGCAUAAAACAGAAUCUGCAAAACAAAAAUCUCUAGAAAAGCAGACCCAGAGCAGUGUAAACAUUCCAGGGUGUGUCCCUGACUGCCUCCCCAAGGUCCCUGUGUCUUCGGAGACAAAGCCAUUCGCUUAGUUGGGCUACUUUAAAAGGCCACUUGAACUUGCUUUCUAUGGCGAUUUGCCUUGUGAGCACUUUCAGGAGAGCCUGCAAGCUGAAAAACGGUAGAAAAAUUUCUGUGCGGGCCGUGAGGGGCUGGCGGCAACCGGGGGCCGCAGAUCAGAGUGGGCCACUGGCAACCAACGGACCCGGGGGCUCAGGCGGGGAAGCAGCUCUGUGGUGUGGGAUUGAGGCGUUUUCCAAGAGUGGGUUUUCACGUUUCUAAGACUUCCCAAGCAGACAGCCCGUGCUGCUCGGAUUUCUCGAAUAAAAAAGCAAAACGUGUGGCUGUCUUUGGAGCAAGUCGCACGACUGCAGGCAGUUGGGGGAGAGAGUCCGCCAUUUCGCCACUUCUCAACCGUCCCUGCAAGGCUGGGGCUCAGUUGCGUAAUGGAAAGUAAAGCCCUGAACUAUCACACCUUAAUCUUCCUUCAAAGGGUAGUAAACUAUACCUACUAUCCCUCAAGACAACACAAAAAGUGCUUUAAGAGGCGGCGGAAGGUGAUCGAAUUCCGGUGAUGCGAGUUGUACUCCGCCUAUAAAUACGCCUCGGCCGGGAGGUGAGGUAGGCAUUGAGGCAGCCAGCGCAGGGGUUGCUGCUGAGAGGGCGGGCGCAGCUUGAGGAAACCGCAGAUAAGUUUUUUUCUCUUUGAAAGAGAGAGUAAUACAACUGCUUAAGAAAUAUAGUCAAUAGGUUACUAAGAUAUUGCUUAGCGUUAAGUUCUUAAUGUAAUUUUAAUAACUUAAGAUUUUAAGAGAAAAUAUGAAGACUUAAAGAGUAGCAUGAGGAAGGAAAAGAUAAAAAGGUUUCUAAAACAUGACGGCGGUUGAGAUGAAGCUUCUUCAUGGAGUGAAAAAAUGUAUUUGAAAGAAAAUCGAGAGAAAGGACUACAGAGCCCUGAAUUAAUACCAGUAGAAGGGCAAUGCUUUUAGAUUAAAAUGAAGGUGACUUAAACAGCUUAAAGUUUACUUUAAAAGUUGUAGGUGAUUAAAAUAAUUUGAAGGCGAUCAUUUAAAGAGAUUAAACCGAAGGUGAUUAAAAGACCUUGAAAUCCAUGACGCAGGGAGAAUUGCGUCAUUUAAAGCCUAGUUAACGCAUUUACUAAACGCAGACGAAAAUGGAAAGAUUAAUUGGGAGUGGUAGGAUGAAACAAUUUGGAGAAGAUGAGAAGUUUGAAGUGGAAAACUGGAAGACAGAAGUACAGGAAGGCGAAGAAAAGAAUAGAGAAGAUAGGGAAAUUAGAAGAUAAAAACAUACUUUUAGAAGAAAAAUAAGUUUAAACCUGAAAGGAAGCAGAAGAAAAAAAUUAGACAAGCUAGGAAACAAAAAACUGAGGGCAAAAUGUACAAACUUAGAAGAAAACUGGAAGAUAGAAACAAGAUAGAAAAAAUAUUGUCAAGAGUUUAAGAUAGAAAAUGAAAAACAGAAGCUAAGACAAGUAUUGGAGAAGCAUAGAAGAUAGAAAAAUAUAAAGCCAAAAAUUGGAUAAAAUAGCACUGAAAAAAUGAGGAAGUUAUUGGUAACCAAUUUAUUUUAAAAGCCCAUCAAUUUAAUUUCUGGUGGUGCAGAAGUUAGAAGGUAAAGCUUGAGAAGAUGAGGGUAUUUACGUAGACCAGAACCAAUUUAGAAGAAUAUUUGAAGCUAGAAGGGGAAGUUGGUUAAAAAUCACAUCAAAAAGCUACUAAAAGGACUGGUGUAAUUUAAAAAAACUAAGGCAGAAGGCUUUUGGAAGAGUUAGAAGAAUUUGGAAGGCCUUAAAUACAGUAGCUUAGUUUGAAAAAUUUGAAGGAUUUUUGGUAACGGAAGUAAUUCAAGAUCAAGAGUAAUUACCAACUUAAUGUUUUUGCAUUGGACUUUGAGUUAAGAUUAUUUUUUAAAUCCUGAGGACUAGCAUUGACAGCUGACCCAGGUGCUACACAGAAGUGGAUUCAGUGAAUCUAGGAAGACAGCAGCAGACAGGAUUCCAGGAACCAGUGUUUGAUGAAGCUAGGACUGAGGAGCAAGCAGCAGUUCGUGAAGAUAGGAAGAGAGUCCAGGAGCCAGUGCGAUUUGGUGAAGGAAGCUAGGAAGAAGGAAGGAGCGCUAACGAUUUGGUGGUGAAGCUAGGCAAAAGGAUUCCAGGAAGGAGCGAGUGCGAUUUGGUGAUGAAGCUAGCAGGCGGCUUGGCUUGGCAACCACACGGAGGAGGCGAGCAGGCGUUGUGCGUAGAUAGAGGAUCCUAGACCAGCAUGCCAGUGUGCCAAGGCCACAGGGAAAGCGAGUGGUUGGUAAAAAUCCGUGAGGUCGGCAAUAUGUUGUUUUUCUGGAACUUGAGUAUGGUAACUUUUUAUUUACUUUUCUAAUGUAAUGGGGGAGUUUCGUACUGAGGUGUAAAGGGAUUUAAAUGGGGACGUAGGCCGAUUUCCGGGUGUUGUAGGUUUCUCUUUUUCAGGCUUAUACUCAUGAAUCUUGUCUGAAGCUUUUGAGGGCAGACUGCCAAGUCCUGGAGAAAUAGUAGAUGGCAAGUUUGUGGUUUUGUUUUUUUUUUACGAAUUUGAGGAAAACCAAAUGAAUUUGAUAGCCAAAAUUGAGACAAUUUCAGCAAAUCUGUAAGCAGUUUGUAUGUUUAGUUGGGGUAAUGAAGUAUUUCAGUUUUGUCAAUGGGUGACCUGUUUUUACUUCUCACCCUGAAUUCGUUUUGUAAAUAUAGAGUUUGGAUGUGUAACUGAGGCGGGGGGCGGGGGGGUAGUUUUCAGUAUUUUUUUUUUUUGUGGGGGUGGGGGCAAAAUAUGUUUUCAGUUCUUUUUCCCUUAGGUCUGUCUAGAAUCCUAAAGGCAAAUGACUCAAGGUGUAACAGAAAACAAGAAAAUCCAAUAUCAGGAUAAUCAGACCACCACAGGUUUACAGUUUAUAGAAACUAGAGCAGUUCUCACGUUGAGGUCUGUGGAAGAGAUGUCCAUUGGAGAAAUGGCUGGUAGUUACUCUUUUUUCCCCCCACCCCCUUAAUCAGACUUUAAAAGUGCUUAACUCCUUAAACUUGUUUUUUACUUGAAGUAUUUUGGGAUGGUCUUAACAGGGAAGAGAGAGGGUGGGGGAGAAAAUGUUUUUUUCUAAGAUUUUCUACAGAUGCUAUAGUACUAUUGACAAACUGGGUUAGAGAAGGAGUGUACCGCUGUGCUGUUGGCACGAACACCUUCAGGGACUGGAGCUGCUUUUAUCCUUGGAAGAGUAUUCCCAGUUGAAGCUGAAAAGUACAGCACAGUGCAGCUUUGGUUCAUAUUCAGUCGUCUCAGGAGAACUUCAGAAGAGCUUGAGUAGGCCAAAUGUUGAAGUUAAGUUUUCCAAUAAUGUGACUUCUUAAAAGUUUUAUUAAAGGGGAGGGGCAGAUAUUGGCAAUUAGUUGGCAGUGGCCUGUUACGGUUGGGAUUGGUGGGGUGGGUUUAGGUAAUUGUUUAGUUUAUGAUUGCAGAUAAACUCAUGCCAGAGAACUUAAAAGUCUUAGGAUGGAAAAGGUAAAGAAAUACCAAUUUCAAGUUGGCAAGUAACUCUCAAUGAUUUAGUUUUUGUUUCCCCCAGUUUUUGAAUUGGGAAGCUGGGGGAAGUUAUAUAUGAGCCACUGGGUGUUCCAGUGCAUUAAUUUGGGCAAGGAAAGUGUCAUAAUUUGAUACUGUAUCUGUUUUCCUUCAAAGUAUAGAGCUUGGGGAAGGAAAGUAUUGAACGGGGGGUUGGUCUGGCCCACUGGGCUGACAUUAACUACAAUUAUGGGAAAUGCAAAAGUUGUUUGGAUAUGGUAGUGUGUGGUUCUCUUUUGGAAUUUUUUUCAGGUGAUUUAAUAAUAAUUUAAAACUACUAUAGAAACUUCAGAGCAAAGGAAGUGGCUUAAUGAUCCUGAAGGGAUUUCUUCUGAUGGUAGCUUUUGUAUUAUCAAGUAAGAUUCUAUUUUCAGUUGCGUGUAAGCAAGUUUUUUUUAGCAUAGGAGAAAUACUUUUCCAUUGUUUAACUGCAAAACGAUGUUAAGGUAUGCUUCAAAAAUUUUGUAAAUUGUGUAUUUUAAAUUUAUCUGUUUGUAAAUCGUAACUGAUUAAGAAUUGUGAUAGUUCAGCGUGAAUGUCUCUUAGAGGGUGGGCUUUUGUUGAUGAGGGAGGGGAAACUUUUUUUUUUUCUAUAGACUUUUUUCAGAUAACAUCUUCUGAGUCAUAACCAGCCUGGCAGUAUGAUGGCCUAGAUGCAGAGAAAACAGCUCCUUGGUGAAUGAUAAGUAAAGGCAGAAAAGAUUAUAUGUCAUACCUCCAUUGGGGAAUAAGCAUAACCCUGAGAUUCUUACUACUGAUGAGAACAUAUCUGCAUAUGCCAAAAAAUUUUAAGCAAAUGAAAGCUACCAAUUUAAAGUUAUGGAAUCUACCAUUUUAAAGUUAAUUGCUUGUCAAGCUAUAACCACAAAAAUAAUGAUGAGAAAUACAAUGAAGAGCCAAUGUCCAUCUCAAAAUACUGCUUUUACAAAAGCAGAAUAAAA
Molecule: long non-coding RNA, 5019 nt
Organism: Pongo pygmaeus (Bornean orangutan)
Lineage: Eukaryota; Metazoa; Chordata; Mammalia; Primates; Hominidae
Exons: 2
Source: RefSeq, a predicted model, not a curated record